UACGAACGCUGGCGGCGUGCUUAACACAUGCAAGUCGAACGGUGACGGAGAGCUUGCUCUCCUGAUCAGUGGCGAACGGGUGAGUAACACGUGGGCAACCUGCCCCAGACUUCGGGAUAACGCUUCGAAAGAGGUGCUAAUACCGAAUACGAACGCCGUGGGCAUCCACGGUGUUGGAAAGUUUUUCGGUCUGGGAUGGGCCCGCGGCCUAUCAGCUUGUUGGUGAGGUAAUGGCUCACCAAGGCGACGACGGGUAGCCGGCCUGAGAGGGCGACCGGCCACACUGGGACUGAGACACGGCCCAGACUCCUACGGGAGGCAGCAGUGGGGAAUAUUGCGCAAUGGGCGAAAGCCUGACGCAGCAACGCCGCGUGGGGGAUGAAGGCCUUCGGGUUGUAAACCUCUUUCAGCAGGGAAGAAGCGAAAGUGACGGUACCUGCAGAAGAAGCACCGGCUAACUACGUGCCAGCAGCCGCGGUAA
RNAcentral lists this ribosomal RNA (481 nucleotides) under uncultured bacterium. RNAcentral describes it as "partial 16S ribosomal RNA". It matches the Rfam family "Bacterial small subunit ribosomal RNA", at positions 29 to 523 of the family's 1533-position model. The record is from RNAcentral.